UGGGGCGUCGUCAAGCGGUUAAGACCCGGGUUUUUGGAGCCCGUAUUCGAAGGUUCGAAUCCUUCCGCCCCAGCCA
RNAcentral lists this transfer RNA (76 nucleotides) under Candidatus Adiutrix sp. Its description in RNAcentral is "tRNA-Gln". It matches the Rfam family "tRNA". From Rfam's summary of the family: Transfer RNA (tRNA) molecules are approximately 80 nucleotides in length. Their secondary structure includes four short double-helical elements and three loops (D, anti-codon, and T loops). Lineage: Bacteria; Pseudomonadati; Thermodesulfobacteriota; Desulfarculia; Candidatus Adiutricales; Candidatus Adiutricaceae. The record is from RNAcentral. RNAcentral also lists the same sequence under 1 other name.